ACGAACCGUCCAAACGUUAUUCGGAAUCACUGGGCUUAAAGGGUGCGUAGGCGGCUCGGUAAGUUGGGUGUGAAAUCCCACGGCUCAACCGUGGAAUUGCGCUCAAAACUGUCGAGCUUGAGGGAGAUAGAGGUAAGCGGAACUUCGGGUGGAGCGGUGAAAUGCGUUGAUAUCCGAAGGAACACCGGUGGCGAAAGCGGCUUACUGGGUCUCUUCUGACGCUGAGGCACGAAAGCUAGGGGAGCGAACGG
This 251-nucleotide ribosomal RNA is filed under the name uncultured prokaryote. Its description in RNAcentral is "partial 16S rRNA". It matches the Rfam family "Bacterial small subunit ribosomal RNA", at positions 525 to 775 of the family's 1533-position model. The record is from RNAcentral.